This 709-nucleotide ribosomal RNA is filed under the name uncultured bacterium. RNAcentral's name for it is "partial 16S ribosomal RNA". It matches the Rfam family "Bacterial small subunit ribosomal RNA", at positions 8 to 752 of the family's 1533-position model. The record is from RNAcentral.
AGAGUNUGAUCCAUGGCUCAGAACGAACGCUGGNGGCAGGCUUAACACAUGUCAACGUCGAUGCGCCCCGGCAAGGGGAGCGGCAGANGGGAUGAGUAACGCGUGGGAAUCUACCCAUCUCUACNGAAUAACUCAAGGAAACUUGUGCUAAUACCGUAUACGCCCUUUUGGGGAAAGAUUUAUCGGAGAUGGAUGAGCCCGCGUUGGAUUACCUAGUNGGUGGGGUAAAGGCCUACCAAGGCCGACUAUCCAUAUCUGGUCUGANAGGAUGAUCAGCCACAUUGGGACUGANACACGGCCCAAACUCCUACGGGAGGCAGCAGUGGGGAAUAUUGGACAAUGGGCGCAAGCCUGAUCCAGCCAUGCCGCGUGUGUGAUGAAGGCCUUAGGGUUGUAAANCACUUUCACCGGACAAGAUAAUGACGGUAUCCGGAUAANAAGCCCCGGACUAACUUCGUGCCAUCAGCCGCNGUAAUACGAAGGGGGCUAGCGUUGUUCGGAAUUACUGGGCGUAAAGCGCACGUAGGCGGAUCGAUCANNUCAGGGGGUGAAAUCCCAGAGCUCNACUCNGGAACUGNCUUUGAUACUGUCGGGUCUACAGUAUGGAAGAGGUGAGUGGAAUUCCGAGUNUANANGUGAAAUUCGGUAGAUAUUCCGGANGANCACCNGUGGNGAAGGCGGCUCACUGGUCCAUUACUGACGCUGAGGU